RNAcentral lists this ribosomal RNA (329 nucleotides) under uncultured eukaryote. RNAcentral describes it as "partial 18S ribosomal RNA". It matches the Rfam family "Eukaryotic small subunit ribosomal RNA", at positions 1470 to 1796 of the family's 1831-position model. The record is from RNAcentral.
CCCUUAGAUGUUCUGGGCCGCACGCGCGCUACACUGAUGCAUUCAACGAGUCUAAAACCUGCUCUGAUAGGGGUGGGUAAUCUUUUGAAUGUGCAUCGUGAUUGGGAUAGAUGAUUGCAAUUUUUCAUCUUCAACGAGGAAUGCCUAGUAAACGCAAGUCAUCAGCUUGCAUUGAUUACGUCCCUGCCCUUUGUACACACCGCCCGUCGCUCCUACCGAUUGAAUGAUCCGAUGAAUAUCAUGGAUUGAGGAUGCAAGUAGGUUAGCCUAUCUUCAUCUUCGAGAAGCGAAGUAAAUCUUAUCAUUUAGAGGAAGGAGAAGUCGUAACA